Molecule: transfer RNA, 74 nt
Filed under: Phytomonospora endophytica
Lineage: Bacteria; Bacillati; Actinomycetota; Actinomycetes; Micromonosporales; Micromonosporaceae
Description: tRNA-Ala
Rfam family: tRNA
About the family: Transfer RNA (tRNA) molecules are approximately 80 nucleotides in length. Their secondary structure includes four short double-helical elements and three loops (D, anti-codon, and T loops). Further hydrogen bonds mediate the characteristic L-shaped molecular structure. tRNAs have two regions of fundamental functional importance: the anti-codon, which is responsible for specific mRNA codon recognition, and the 3' end, to which the tRNAs corresponding amino acid is attached (by aminoacyl-tRNA synthetases). tRNAs cope with the degeneracy of the genetic code in two manners: having more than one tRNA (with a specific anti-codon) for a particular amino acid; and 'wobble' base-pairing, i.e. permitting non-standard base-pairing at the 3rd anti-codon position.
Source: RNAcentral
GGGGCUGUGGCGCAGUUGGUAGCGCGCCUCGUUCGCAUCGAGGAGGCCAGGAGUUCGAAUCUCCUCAGCUCCAC